CGGCACUCCAGAUGUUUUGGACCACACCUCCCAUGAUGCCUUGCCAGCAUUAUGGGGGAUGUAGUCCACAACAUCUGGAGUGUCG
Molecule: microRNA precursor, 85 nt
Filed under: Pelobates cultripes (western spadefoot toad)
Lineage: Eukaryota; Metazoa; Chordata; Amphibia; Anura; Pelobatidae
Source: RNAcentral